GACGUAGGGGGCAAGCGUUGUUCGGAAUUAUUGGGCGUAAAGCGCUCGUAGGCGGGACAGGAAGUUCGUGUUGAAAGACCUCGGCUCAACUGAGGGACCGGCUCGAAUACUCUUGUUCUUGAGGCAAUCAGAGGGUGAUGGAAUUCCCGGUGUAGCGGUGAAAUGCGUAGAGAUCGGAAAGAACACCAACGGCGAAAGCACUCUGCUGGGCCGACACUGACACUGAGAGACGAAAGCUAGGGGAGCGAAUGGG
RNAcentral lists this ribosomal RNA (253 nucleotides) under uncultured bacterium. RNAcentral describes it as "partial 16S ribosomal RNA". It matches the Rfam family "Bacterial small subunit ribosomal RNA", at positions 524 to 776 of the family's 1533-position model. The record is from RNAcentral.